AUUGAACGCUGGCGGCAGGCCUAACACAUGCAAGUCGAACGGUAACAGGAAGAAGCUUGCUUCUUUGCUGACGAGUGGUGGACGGGUGAGUAAUGUCUGGGAAACUGCCUGAUGGAGGGGGAUAACUACUGGAAACGGUAGCUAAUACCGCAUAACGUCGCAAGACCAAAGAGGGGGACCUUCGGGCCUCUUGCCAUCGGAUGUGCCCAGAUGGGAUUAGCUAGUAGGUGGGGUAACGGCUCACCUAGGCGACGAUCCCUAGCUGGUCUGAGAGGAUGACCAGCCACACUGGAACUGAGACACGGUCCAGACUCCUACGGGAGGCAGCAGUGGGGAAUAUUGCACAAUGGGCGCAAGCCUGAUGCAGCCAUGCCGCGUGUAUGAAGAAGGCCUUCGGGUUGUAAAGUACUUUCAGCGGGGAGGAAGGGAGUAAAGUUAAUACCUUUGCUCAUUGACGUUACCCGCAGAAGAAGCACCGGCUAACUCCGUG
This 490-nucleotide ribosomal RNA is filed under the name uncultured bacterium. RNAcentral describes it as "partial 16S ribosomal RNA". It matches the Rfam family "Bacterial small subunit ribosomal RNA", at positions 30 to 507 of the family's 1533-position model. The record is from RNAcentral.